UACAGAGGCCUCGAGCGUUAAUCGGAAUCACUGGGCUUAAAGGGUGCGUAGGCGGCGCUGCAAGUGCCUUGUGAAGUCCCAUCGCUUAACGAUGGAACUGCUCGGUAGACUGCAGUGCUUGAGGUUGGUAGGGGCUGCCGGAACUCUAGGUGGAGCGGUGAAAUGCGUAGAUAUCUAGAGGAACGCCCAAGGCGAAGGCAGGCAGCUGGGCCAAUUCUGACGCUGAGGCACGAAAGCGUGGGGAGCAAACGGG
RNAcentral lists this ribosomal RNA (253 nucleotides) under uncultured bacterium. RNAcentral's name for it is "partial 16S ribosomal RNA". It matches the Rfam family "Bacterial small subunit ribosomal RNA", at positions 524 to 776 of the family's 1533-position model. The record is from RNAcentral.